Molecule: ribosomal RNA, 253 nt
Filed under: uncultured bacterium
Lineage: Bacteria
Description: partial 16S ribosomal RNA
Rfam family: Bacterial small subunit ribosomal RNA
Source: RNAcentral
UACAGAGGGUGCAAGCGUUAAUCGGAAUUACUGGGCGUAAAGCGCACGUAGGCGGUUAGUUAAGUUGGAAGUGAAAUCCCCGGGCUCAACCUGGGAACUGCUUUCAAAACUGCUGAGCUAGAGUACGGUAGAGGGUGGUGGAAUUUCCUGUGUAGCGGUGAAAUGCGUAGAGAUAGGAAGGAACACCAGUGGCGAAGGCGACCACCUGGACUGAUACUGACACUGAGGUGCGAAAGCGUGGGGAGCAAACAGG